Phyllostomus discolor (pale spear-nosed bat) is the source of this 287-nucleotide long non-coding RNA. RefSeq lists it as uncharacterized. The transcript has 2 exons. The record is from RefSeq and is a predicted model, not a curated record. Lineage: Eukaryota; Metazoa; Chordata; Mammalia; Chiroptera; Phyllostomidae.
CCGCCCUCCCUCUCCCAUUACAGGUGUGUUAACUUGGGCGCUUCUUGGAUUCUACCCUGAGGAGGAGGCGCGUGGUGAGAGGAGAGCUCCACCAGCUGCGCGCUCGUGUAUGCCGUCCGCGCCCGCUUGGACGCCGCAGACCCCGGGGGGCUCUUGUCCCCUCCCCCGCUGCUACCGCCCCCGCCACCACUGCCUCCUCCUCCGCCGCCACCGCAGCCCUCCGCUGGAUCCGAGGGGGAGGGGUGGGAAGAGGAGAAAAUGAAAUAAAAGAUAAUUACUGAACACGC